GAUGAACGCUGGCGGCGUGCUUAACACAUGCAAGUCGAACGGAAAGGCCAGUGCUUGCCCUGGUCCUCGAGUGGCGAACGGGUGAGUAACACGUGGGUGAUCUGCCCUGUACUUCGGGAUAAGCUUGGGAAACUGGGUCUAAUACCGGAUAGGACAACUUUUUGGAUAUUGUUGUGGAAAGCUUUUGCGGUAUGGGAUGAGCUCGCGGCCUAUCAGCUUGUUGGUGGGGUAAUGGCCUACCAAGGCGUCGACGGGUAGCCGGCCUGAGAGGGUGUACGGCCACAUUGGGACUGAGAUACGGCCCAGACUCCUACGGGAGGCAGCAGUGGGGAAUAUUGCACAAUGGGCGCAAGCCUGAUGCAGCGACGCCGCGUGGGGGAUGAAGGCCUUCGGGUUGUAAACUCCUUUCGCUAGGGACGAAGCUUUUUUGUGACGGUACCUGGAGAAGAAGCACCGGCUAACUACGUG
This 468-nucleotide ribosomal RNA is filed under the name uncultured bacterium. RNAcentral describes it as "partial 16S ribosomal RNA". It matches the Rfam family "Bacterial small subunit ribosomal RNA", at positions 28 to 507 of the family's 1533-position model. The record is from RNAcentral.